CCGGGUUGAUCCCGCCAAGAGUCAUAUGCUUGUUCAAAGAUUAAGCCAUGCAUGUAAGUAUGAACUAUUUUAGACUGUUAAACCGAAUGGCCUCAUUAAAUCGUUAUAGUUUGUUUGAUGGUACGUAAGCUACUCGGAUAACCGUAGUAAUUUAGAGCUAAUACGCGCAACAAACCCCGAUUCCUAAGGGAUGCAUUAAUUAGAUAAAAGGUCGACGGGCUUUGCCCGCCGCCCGGUUGAUUCAUGAUAACUCGACGGAUCGCACGCCCUCGCCGUUCUGCCGACGAUCAUUCAAAUUAAUGCCCCAUCAACUUUGGUAGAAUAGGGGCCUACCAUGGUGGUGACGGUGACGGAGAAUUAGGGAUCGAUUCGAGAGUGAGCCCGGAGAAACGCUACCACAUCCAAGGAAGGCAAAGAAAGGCCAAGAAAUUACCCAAUCCUCGACACGGGAGGUAGUGAAAUAAAUAAUAAUACCGGCUCUUUUGAACCGGGUAAUUGGAAUGAGUACAAUCUAAAUCCCUCAACGAGGAUCCAUUGAGGGCAAGUCCGGUGCCAAAGAAUCAUGGGUAAUUCCAGCCCAAUAGCUUAUAUUUAAGUUGUUGCAGUUAAAAAAGCUCGUAGUUGGACUUUGGGACGGUCGGUUGGCCCGGGCCGGUGGUGGAAACCGGUCGUCCCAUCCCUUCUAUCGCACGAUAUGCGUUUCUGGGCUUUAACCGGGAAGCCGGGUCGGCCUUUCCUCCAAGGCCAAGCUUUGAAGAAAUUAGAGUGUUUCAAAGCAAGCCCACGCUCGGAUACAUUAGCAUGGGAUAACAUCACGUGAUUUCGGUCCUAUUGUGUUGGCCUUCGGAUCGGAGUAAUGAUUAAGAGGGACAAAUGGGGUAUUCAGAUUUCAUAGUCGAGGUGAAAUUUUGGAUUUAUGAAAGACAACCAUCGCGAAAAGCAUUUGCCAAGGAUGUUUUCAUUAAUCAAGAACGAAAAGUUGGGGGCCUCAAGACCAUCGAUACCGGCCCUAGUCUCAACCAUAAACGAUGCCGCAUUGGGAUCGGGCGGAUGUUGCUUUUAGGACUCGCCGGCACCUUAUGAGAAAUCAAAGUCUUGGGUUCCGUGGGGAGUAUGGUCGCAAGGUCAAAACAUAAAGGAAUUGACUAAGGGCACCAUCAGAGGGAGCCUCAUGGGUUUAAUUUGACUCAACACGGGAAACUUACCAGUCCGCAUAGCAAGGAUUGACGCAUCAACAGCUCUUUCUUUUGAUUCUAUGGGUAGGUGCAUGGCCGUUUUAGUUGGUGGAGUUUAUUUGUCCGGGUUAAUUCCGAUAACUUAACGAGACCUCAAACCGCUAACUAGCUACGCUGAGGCAUCCUCUCCGCCAGCUUCUUAGAGGGACUAUGGCCAUUUAGGCCACGGAAGUUCGAGGCAAUAACAGGUCUGGUGAUGCCCUUAGAUGUUCUCGGGUCAGCGACGCCGCCAUUAAUCGAUGUAUUCAACAAGUUCAUAGCCUUGGCCGGUUGCGGCUCCCGUAAUCCUUUUGAAAAUUUCAUCGAUGGGGAUAGAUCAUUGCAAUUGUUGGUCUUCAACGAGGAAUUUAGUAAGCGAAGUCAUCCCUCGCUGACUACGCCCCCGCCCUUUUGUACACCACCGUCCCCCUCCUACCGAUUGAAUGGUCCUGAAGCGGUUCGGAUCGAGAUGACGGGCGGUUCGCCGCCCGCCGACAUCGAGAAGUCCAUCGAACCUUAUCAUUUAGAGGAAGGAGAAGUCGAAUAAGGUUUUCAUAGGUGAACCCGCGGAAG
RNAcentral lists this ribosomal RNA (1787 nucleotides) under Musa schizocarpa. Its description in RNAcentral is "bacterial SSU rRNA". It matches the Rfam family "Eukaryotic small subunit ribosomal RNA". The record is from RNAcentral. Lineage: Eukaryota; Viridiplantae; Streptophyta; Magnoliopsida; Zingiberales; Musaceae.